Molecule: microRNA, 18 nt
Filed under: Corchorus olitorius
Lineage: Eukaryota; Viridiplantae; Streptophyta; Magnoliopsida; Malvales; Malvaceae
Also listed under: 1 other name
Description: cin-miR-4001e-
Source: RNAcentral
AGCUGAUCAUAUAAAUUG